RNAcentral lists this long non-coding RNA (833 nucleotides) under Marmota monax (woodchuck). The record is from RNAcentral. Lineage: Eukaryota; Metazoa; Chordata; Mammalia; Rodentia; Sciuridae.
CACUAAGUUGUUGAGGCUGGCUUUGAACUCACGAUCCUCCUGCCUCAGCCUCCUGAGUUGCUGGGAUUCCUGGUGUGCACCACCGCCCCUGGUGUGUGGAAUUUUUGUUAAUAGCAGCAGGAACAGACUAAGACAGGUGUGUUCUUCUCUGUUGCUGCAGGGAUCCCUGAGAACAGGUAGCUAGGCCCACAGGUUCUUGCACACAGGAGACAGUGGAGCUUCUGUGUAGGCAGAACCCAGACCUUGCCAGCCCAUGAGCCCCAUUUUGGGCUGAACUUCUGUAACCACCUUCCUGGGUGGCCACCUUCCUGGGUGCCAGCAGUACAGACACAAGCCCCUCUGUAUCUCUGUGACCCCACGGCUACUGGUUUUCCUUUAGCCUCUCUGGACAUGCUUUCCAGUCACCUCUGUCCUCUCCUCUUCUGCAAGAAAAUUGGGUUCUUCAGGGUUUAGUCCUAGCCCCUUGGAGGUCAGUGCACACAUCCUUGGCCACACCUCUCUCCCCUGGUUUCUGUCACCAUCUCUGUUCUGAAGGACCUAAGCUGUGUCCUCAGCUCCGCCUUAUCCUAACUCCAGGCCUGCGUCUACAACUCCCUCUGGGAUAGACUGGUUGUCCCCCAGGACCGCUCACUUCAGUGCUGCCACAACUACCAACCUGCCAUCCUUCCCACCUGGCUCCUUUCUUGCCUUCUGUUCCUGCCAUGGAGGCCAAUGGGGACCCCAGGAGUCCUGCCAGCUCCUGCCCACUCCACGACUCCCCAGUGCUCACUCUGCCUUCUGCCCCUCCCCAACACUUCAGGGGGACUCUGAGUGUCCCACUGCCCUCAUCUGAC